UACGGGGGGGGCAAGCGUUGUUCGGAAUUACUGGGCGUAAAGGGCUCGUAGGCGGCCAACUAAGUCGGAUGUGAAAUCCCCAAGCUUAACUUGGGAACUGCAUCCGAUACUGGAUGGCUUGAAUCCGGGAGAGGGAUGCAGAAUUCCAGGUGUAGCGGUGAAAUGCGUAGAUAUCUGGAGGAAUACCGGUGGCGAAGGCGGCAUCCUGGACCGGCACUGACGCUGAGGAGCGAAAGCCAGGGGAGCAAACGGG
This 253-nucleotide ribosomal RNA is filed under the name uncultured bacterium. Its description in RNAcentral is "partial 16S ribosomal RNA". It matches the Rfam family "Bacterial small subunit ribosomal RNA", at positions 524 to 776 of the family's 1533-position model. The record is from RNAcentral.